UACGAAGGGGGCUAGCGUUGUUCGGAAUCACUGGGCGUAAAGCGCACGUAGGCGGAUCGUUAAGUCGGGGGUGAAAUCCCAGGGCUCAACCCUGGAACUGCCUUUGAUACUGGCGAUCUUGAGUCCGGGAGAGGUGAGUGGAACUGCGAGUGUAGAGGUGAAAUUCGUAGAUAUUCGCAAGAACACCAGUGGCGAAGGCGGCUCACUGGCCCGGUACUGACGCUGAGGUGCGAAAGCGUGGGGAGCAAACAGG
Molecule: ribosomal RNA, 253 nt
Filed under: uncultured bacterium
Lineage: Bacteria
Description: partial 16S ribosomal RNA
Rfam family: Bacterial small subunit ribosomal RNA
Source: RNAcentral